RNAcentral lists this transfer RNA (76 nucleotides) under Hominimerdicola alba. RNAcentral's name for it is "tRNA-Thr". It matches the Rfam family "tRNA". From Rfam's summary of the family: Transfer RNA (tRNA) molecules are approximately 80 nucleotides in length. The record is from RNAcentral. Lineage: Bacteria; Bacillati; Bacillota; Clostridia; Eubacteriales; Oscillospiraceae. RNAcentral also lists the same sequence under 21 other names.
GCUGGAAUAGCUCAGUUGGUAGAGCAGCUCAUUCGUAAUGAGCAGGUCGCGUGUUCAAGUCACGUUUCCAGCUCCA